RNAcentral lists this ribosomal RNA (403 nucleotides) under Fusobacteriota bacterium. RNAcentral's name for it is "Fusobacteria bacterium partial 16S ribosomal RNA". It matches the Rfam family "Bacterial small subunit ribosomal RNA", at positions 355 to 776 of the family's 1533-position model. The record is from RNAcentral. Lineage: Bacteria; Fusobacteriati; Fusobacteriota.
UGGGGAAUAUUGCACAAUGGUGGGAACUCUGAUGCAGCGACGCCGCGUGAACGAAGAAGGCUUUCGAGUCGUAAAGUUCUUUUAUAUGGGAAGAUAAUGACGGUACCAUAAGAAAAAGCCCCGGCUAACUACGUGCCAGCAGCCGCGGUAAUACGUAGGGGGCUAGCGUUGUCCGGAAUCACUGGGCGUAAAGGGUUCGCAGGCGGAAAUGCAAGUCAGGUGUAAAAGGCAGUAGCUUAACUACUGUAAGCAUUUGAAACUGCAUAUCUUGAGAAGAGUAGAGGUAAGUGGAAUUUUUAGUGUAGCGGUGAAAUGCGUAGAUAUUAAAAAGAAUACCGGUGGCGGAGGCGACUUACUGGGCUCAUUCUGACGCUGAGGAACGAAAGCGUGGGUAGCAAACAGG